RNAcentral lists this ribosomal RNA (260 nucleotides) under uncultured bacterium. Its description in RNAcentral is "partial 16S ribosomal RNA". It matches the Rfam family "Bacterial small subunit ribosomal RNA", at positions 793 to 1055 of the family's 1533-position model. The record is from RNAcentral.
GUCCACGCCCUAAACUAUGGAUACUCGACAUCAGCGAUACACUGUUGGUGUCUGAGCGAAAGCAUUAAGUAUCCCACCUGGGAAGUACGAUCGCAAGAUUGAAACUCAAAGGAAUUGGCGGGGUCCGCACAAGCGGUGGAGCAUGUGGUUUAAUUCGAUGAUACGCGAGGAACCUUACCUGGGCUAGAAUGUCACGCGACCGGGGGUGAAAGCUCUCUUUAUAGCAAUAUACGCGUGAUAAGGUGCUGCAUGGCUGUCGU